This 208-nucleotide ribosomal RNA is filed under the name uncultured fungus. RNAcentral's name for it is "partial small subunit ribosomal RNA". It matches the Rfam family "Eukaryotic small subunit ribosomal RNA", at positions 570 to 788 of the family's 1831-position model. The record is from RNAcentral. Lineage: Eukaryota; Fungi.
AUUGACGGGUAUCAGCUCAUAGCGUAUAUUAAAGUUGUUGCAGUUAAAAAGCUCGUAGUUGAACCUUGGGUCUGGCUGGCCGGUCCGCCUCACCGCGAGUACUGGUCCGGCUGGACCUUUCCUUCUGGGGAACCUCAUGGCCUUCACUGGCUGUGGGGGGAACCAGGACUUUUACUGUGAAAAAAUUAGAGUGUUUAAAGCAGGCAAU